This 468-nucleotide ribosomal RNA is filed under the name uncultured bacterium. Its description in RNAcentral is "partial 16S ribosomal RNA". It matches the Rfam family "Bacterial small subunit ribosomal RNA", at positions 28 to 507 of the family's 1533-position model. The record is from RNAcentral.
GACGAACGCUGGCGGCGUGCUUAACACAUGCAAGUCGAACGGAAAGGCCCUGCUUUUGUGGGGUGCUCGAGUGGCGAACGGGUGAGUAACACGUGAGUAACCUGCCCUUGACUUUGGGAUAACUUCAGGAAACUGGGGCUAAUACCGGAUAGGAGCUCCUGCUGCAUGGUGGGGGUUGGAAAGUUUCGGCGGUUGGGGAUGGACUCGCGGCUUAUCAGCUUGUUGGUGGGGUUGUGGCUUACCAAGGCUUUGACGGGUAGCCGGCCUGAGAGGGUGACCGGCCACAUUGGGCCUGAGAUACGGCCCAGACUCCUACGGGAGGCAGCAGUGGGGAAUAUUGCACAAUGGGCGGAAGCCUGAUGCAGCAACGCCGCGUGCGGGAUGACGGCCUUAGGGUUGUAAACCGCUUUCGCCUGUGACGAAGCGUGAGUGACGGUAAUGGGUAAAGAAGCACCGGCUAACUACGUG